RNAcentral lists this ribosomal RNA (253 nucleotides) under uncultured bacterium. RNAcentral describes it as "partial 16S ribosomal RNA". It matches the Rfam family "Bacterial small subunit ribosomal RNA", at positions 524 to 776 of the family's 1533-position model. The record is from RNAcentral.
UACGGAGGGAGCUAGCGUUGUUCGGAAUUACUGGGCGUAAAGCGCGCGUAGGCGGCUUUGUAAGUUAGAGGUGAAAGCCCGGGGCUCAACCCCGGAAUUGCCUUUAAGACUGCAUCGCUUGAAUCCGGGAGAGGGGAGUGGAAUUCCGAGUGUAGAGGUGAAAUUCGUAGAUAUUCGGAAGAACACCAGUGGCGAAGGCGGCUCACUGGACUGGUAUUGACGCUGAGGUGCGAAAGCGUGGGGAGCAAACAGG